RNAcentral lists this long non-coding RNA (2416 nucleotides) under Homo sapiens (human). Its description in RNAcentral is "non-protein coding lnc-PLCL2-1:2". The record is from RNAcentral. Lineage: Eukaryota; Metazoa; Chordata; Mammalia; Primates; Hominidae.
AACCGGCGCGCGGCUGGAGGCUGGGAACCAGCUCCUGGGUCUUAGUCAGAGGUUCACAUCCACCAACUAUCUUCCCAGGGUUGGACUGAGAAGGGGAGCAGAGGGUCCCAGGGACUCUCCUGAGAUCCUGGCUCUCCUGCCAAGGAAUUUACAUUUCCUUGUCACAGGUAAAUGGCCUUCCAUGCCACAUUUUUCUGUGGCUGAGUAGGCUUCUAACUCAGCUCAUCUGUCACUUUCUCCGUGAAACUUACCCCUGCCUACUUUAGAGGAGUCACUAGCACUUUGUGCAGACCUACCUUGUAGUACAACCCAUAGAAAGAUAAAGGUUAGGAGUUAUUUUUUCACAAGCCCACAAUACUAGACUGUGGUUUCUAUCUUUAUCUCAUAAACUUGGACAGGGUCUUCAGUGUUGUAGUAUCUCCCUAAACGUCUGAUGACUAUCAGAACACAGGGAAUGUCUAAAACUUUUAUCGUUGCCCUUGGUCUCUGCAUAAUCAUGAUUUAAGAUCCCCUUUAACCCAAGCACGUGGGAAGGUGGUGUUUGUUUCCCCAGUAUGAAAGCCUUUAAAUCAUAAUGUUAAUUAGAGUGGUAAAUGCUUCACUUAGUAAAAGAGAUUUAUGGUAUUUUAUUAGCUUAUCUUCACAAAGAGCUCCAACGAAAAUUGAUACUGUUUAGUCCAGAAAAGGAAACCAAGUCAGAGAAAGGUCAGAUUUCUGAAGGUUAUCUAGCUUCAGAGGAAGAUGCCUGUGUGGGAGACCUUUGUGGACAAACACCCCACUUCACACAGAGAUCCCUCUUUUUCUGUUGCCCCUCUUUCUGUUGCAGAAACUGAACAGGUUAAGUUAGUGCCUGUGGCCAGAUUUAAUCCGGCCAGAUUUAUUUAUUUAUCAAAUAAAUAAAAUGUAAAAACUCCCUAAUUGGGAGUUCUGGCUAGACCAGUCAUCAUCACUGUUAGACUGGUGAAUACUGAGAUGAUAGUCAAGAAAUGGGGCUAGCAACAAAAUGACAGAAAAUCCUGGGAUGAAUGUAUAUGAAGAAAUAGGAUUAACAGAGGCUUCUGAGAAACUAGGAAAAUGACAACCCUCAAGAUUCCAUUCUCAAAUGUUUACAAAGCUGUUGGACUCUUUUCUGCAUUUACCACUGUAUACACCCACAGACUGAUCCCACCUCAUAGUUUCAGCUACCACACAGGUUAUGCUAAUGGCAUCCCAUUCUAAAUAUUCAGCCCAAGAUUCAGACCUUGUGGUAGACUAUUUUCUUAUGGCACACAAUUAACUGUGCCUCCCAGUAUUCAUGCCCAUGUAUAGUCCUCUGCCCUUGAGUCUGGGCCGGACCUGUCACCUGCCUUAAACAAUCAAAUAUGGCAAAAAUUACUCUCUGUCACUUCUAGGCCUAGGCCUUUAAAGACUUUGCAGGGCCAGGCGCGGUGGCUCACGCCUGUAAUCCCAGCACUUUGGGAGGCCAAGGCGGGUGGAUCACGAGGUCAGGAGAUUGAGACCAUCCUGGCUAACACAGUGAAACCCCGUCUCUACUAAAAAUACAAAAAAUUAGCCAGGCAUGGUGGCACACGCCUGUAGUCCCAGCUACUCGGGAGGCUGAGGCAGGAGAAUGGUGUGAACCCAGGAGGUGGAGGUUGCAGUGAGCCGAGAUCGCGCCACUGCACUCCAGCCUGGGCGACAGAGUGAGACUCCGUCUCAAAAAAAAAAAAAAAAAAAAAAAAAAAAAGGCUUUGCAGUGACAACUUUGAACUUUACCAGAGACUCAUGGGAAACAGAAAUAGUUAAGAAAUCCCACCACCUUUUUGUGUUCUGCGAAACAGUUUACCACAAAGACCAAUCCUUCUCCAUAUUACUUAAAUGAGACUCAUUGUCCAGUUUCUCUGAUAAAACUAGUAGAUGACCUGUGACAAGACCAAACACAUACCUUUCCUUUUUUCCCGAACCUGUGGGGAAGGUCAGUCACCUUUCAACUUCCUAUUUGUCUCAUGAAUGAUUAGCUAGGAUUAGAACUACUUUUUCCCCCUUGAAAUUAGGUAGCGAUAAACAUUUCAUAGCUGAUAAUUCUCUGAUUACAAAAAUAAUCCCAACUGUAAUCAUCUCAUCUAUAACCUGUCUAUGCCUCCCUGUAAAAGUAUAAGGCAGCCAGGCAUAGUGGUGCACACCUGUACUCCCACCUACUCAGGAGAUUGAGGUGGGAAAAUUGUUUGAGCCCAGGAGUUUGAGAGCAGCCUAGACAACAGCAAAACCAUGCUCUAAAAUAAUAAUAAAAGUAUAGGGCAAAACCACCCUGCUGAGACACUCUGAUCUUCACAUCUGGAGUACUCUCCCUAAUGUAAUUGCCUGAAUGAAAUCUAUUUCCUCACCAGUUUAGUUUUUAACUUUGACAGUAGCUAUCAUUUUUGCCCUUUGUGGGAAG